UCCAAGCCAAGCAGGGCAAAGCCAGAGCCCAGUUUCCUGUCCAACCAGCCAGGGAUGUUUAAUUCCUCAGGACAGCUGCUGGGAUAUCUCCUCCAUGCUGUAACAGUCAGCAUGACACAGGUGUCUCAGGCUCAGCAGUGAGGUGGUCCCGGUUUUAGCAGGGAAUGUGCUGUGGCAUUUAACAGCUUCAUGGGUGCCCCUUGCCUCAGGUCCUGCUGCAGUAUCACCACGAUCCAAGUCUUGUCAUUCCAGAUUACAAGAAGCACCAGGUUCUCAUGCCCUUCUCUGUGGCUGUGCCUUUCCACUGUGUCUUCUGCCGCCCUCACCAGCCCAGUUUUUCAUCUCUG
Molecule: long non-coding RNA, 347 nt
Organism: Zonotrichia leucophrys gambelii
Lineage: Eukaryota; Metazoa; Chordata; Aves; Passeriformes; Passerellidae
Exons: 3
Source: RefSeq, a predicted model, not a curated record